GACGAACGCUGGCGGCGUGCUUAACACAUGCAAGUCGAACGGAAAGGCCCUGCUUUUGUGGGGUGCUCGAGUGGCGAACGGGUGAGUAACACGUGAGUAACCUGCCCUUGACUUUGGGAUAACUUCAGGAAACUGGGGCUAAUACCGGAUAGGAGCUCCUGCUGCAUGUUUGGGGUUGGAAAGUUUCGGCGGUUGGGGAUGGACUCGCGGCUUAUCAGCUUGUUGGUGGGGUAGUGGCUUACCAAGGCUUUGACGGGUAGCCGGCCUGAGAGUGUGACCGGACACAGUGGCAGAGAGAAGGGGCCGAGUCGCACGCGGGGAAGAGGAGUGGAAUAUUGAGCAAGAGGGGCAGGAGUGAUGUAGAGAAACGGCGUGUGGGAGAACACGGCUUGGGGGGUGGAAAACGUUUGCGCAUGUGACGAAGCGGGGUGAAGGGAAAUGGUGAAAAAAGAACGGCUAAAUUAGUG
RNAcentral lists this ribosomal RNA (467 nucleotides) under uncultured bacterium. Its description in RNAcentral is "partial 16S ribosomal RNA". It matches the Rfam family "Bacterial small subunit ribosomal RNA", at positions 28 to 507 of the family's 1533-position model. The record is from RNAcentral.